Molecule: ribosomal RNA, 601 nt
Filed under: Actinomadura sp. YIM M11327
Lineage: Bacteria; Bacillati; Actinomycetota; Actinomycetes; Streptosporangiales; Thermomonosporaceae
Description: bacterial SSU rRNA
Rfam family: Bacterial small subunit ribosomal RNA
Source: RNAcentral
GAAAGGCCCCUUCGGGGGUACUCGAGCGGCGAACGGGUGACCUAUUUACGUGAGCAACCUGCCCCUGACUCUGGGAUAAGCCCGGCCAUUUUGGGUCUAAUACCGGAUAUGACCACUGGUCGCAUGAUCGUGUGGUGGAAAGUUUUUCGGUUGGGGAUGGGCUCGCGGCCUAUCAGCUUGUUGGUGGGGUGAUGGCCUACCAAGGCGACGACGGGUAACCGGCCUGAGAGGGCGACCGGUCACACUGGGACUGAGACACGGCCCAGACUCCUACGGGAGGCAGCAGUGGGGAAUAUUGCGCAAUGGGCGGAAGCCUGACGCAGCGACGCCGCGUGAGGGAUGACGGCCUUCGGGUUGUAAACCUCUUUCAGCAGGGACGAAGCUAACGUGACGGUACCUGCAGAAGAAGCGCCGGCUAACUACGUGCCAGCAGCCGCGGUAAUACGUAGGGCGCAAGCGUUGUCCGGAAUUAUUGGGCGUAAAGAGCUCGUAGGCGGUUUGUCGCGUCUGUCGUGAAAGCCCACGGCUUAACCGUGGGUCUGCGGUGGAUACGGGCAGACUAGAGGCAGGUAGGGGAGAACGGAAUUCCCGGUGUAGCGGU